UACGUAGGGGGCAAGCGUUGUCCGGAAUCAUUGGGCGUAAAGCGCGUGUAGGCGGUCCGAUAAGUCGGCUGUGAAAGUCCAGGGCUCAACCCUGGGAUGCCGGUCGAUACUGUCGGACUAGAGUUCGGAAGAGGCGAGUGGAAUUCCCGGUGUAGCGGUGAAAUGCGCAGAUAUCGGGAGGAACACCAAUGGCGAAGGCAGCUCGCUGGGCCGACACUGACGCUCAUGCACGAAAGCGUGGGGAGCAAACAGG
RNAcentral lists this ribosomal RNA (253 nucleotides) under uncultured bacterium. Its description in RNAcentral is "partial 16S ribosomal RNA". It matches the Rfam family "Bacterial small subunit ribosomal RNA", at positions 524 to 776 of the family's 1533-position model. The record is from RNAcentral.